AGUUAGCCGAGACUUGUUCCUAUGGUACCGUCCUUGUCUCUUCCCAUAGAAAAGAGCUUUACAACCCGAAGGCCUUCAUCGCUCACGCGGCGUUGCUGCAUCAGGGUUUCCCCCAUUGUGCAAUAUUCCU
This 130-nucleotide ribosomal RNA is filed under the name uncultured bacterium. Its description in RNAcentral is "partial 16S ribosomal RNA". The record is from RNAcentral.